CAAUAGCGUAUAUUAAAGUUGUUGCAGUUAAAAAGCUCGUAGUUGGAUUUCUGGUAGGAGUGACCGUUCCGAACUUGAUUGUUCGUGUAUUGUGUUUUCUCCAGCCAUCCUUGUGGAGAACUUUUCUUGCAUUAAUUUGUAGGGAUUGGGACCCGCAUCGUUUACUGUGAAAAAAUUAGAGUGUUUAAAGCAGGCAAUCGCUUGAAUACAUUAGCAUGGAAUAAUAAGAUAGGACUUUGGUACUAUUUUGUUGGUUUGCAUACCAAAUUAAUGAUCAACAGGAACAGUUUGAGGAUAUUCGUAUGAACAGGUCAGAGGUGAAAUUCUUGGAUUUUGAUCAGACGAACUACUGCGAAAGCAUUUAUCAAGGAUGUUUUCAUUAA
RNAcentral lists this ribosomal RNA (383 nucleotides) under uncultured eukaryote. Its description in RNAcentral is "partial 18S ribosomal RNA". It matches the Rfam family "Eukaryotic small subunit ribosomal RNA", at positions 592 to 976 of the family's 1831-position model. The record is from RNAcentral.